This 19-nucleotide small nuclear RNA is filed under the name Arabidopsis thaliana (thale cress). RNAcentral's name for it is "snRNA_00285". The record is from RNAcentral. Lineage: Eukaryota; Viridiplantae; Streptophyta; Magnoliopsida; Brassicales; Brassicaceae.
AGGCUCGCUUCGGCGGGUC